RNAcentral lists this ribosomal RNA (441 nucleotides) under uncultured organism. RNAcentral's name for it is "bacterial SSU rRNA". It matches the Rfam family "Bacterial small subunit ribosomal RNA", at positions 346 to 780 of the family's 1533-position model. The record is from RNAcentral.
GUGCAGCAGGCGAGAAUUUUUCUCAAUGGGGGCAACCCUGAAGGAGCGACGCCGCGUGGAGGAUGAAGGCUUUCGGGUUGUAAACUCCUGUCAUUUGAGAACAAGUGUAGCCAAGUAACUACUGGCUACUUGAUAGUAUCAGAAGAGGAAGAGACGGCUAACUCUGUGCCAGCAGCCGCGGUAAUACAGAGGUCUCAAGCGUUGUUCGGAUUCAUUGGGCGUAAAGGGUGCGUAGGUGGCGCCAUAAGUCGGGUGUGAAAUCUCGGGGCUUAACUCCGAAACUGCAUUCGAUACUGUGGUGCUUGAGGACUGGAGAGGAGACUGGAAUUCAUGGUGUAGCAGUGAAAUGCGUAGAGAUCAUGAGGAAGACCAGUGGCGAAGGCGGGUCUCUGGACAGUUCCUGACACUGAGGCACGAAGGCCAGGGGAGCAAACGGGAUUA